Molecule: long non-coding RNA, 2347 nt
Organism: Patella vulgata (common limpet)
Lineage: Eukaryota; Metazoa; Mollusca; Gastropoda; Patellidae
Exons: 4
Source: RefSeq, a predicted model, not a curated record
GAAGUGGGCGUGUCAUGUCGUGUGACGACAAAUCUAUAUGUGAAAGGGGAGAUAACCACGUAAUAAGGACUGUGUACCCUAAUUACUGACAGAAGAUUUAAGAAUAUAUCUUGCUGAAGUGGGCGUGUCAUGUCGUGUGACGACAAAUCUAUAUGUGAAAGGGGAGAUAACCACGUAAUAAGGACUGUGUACCCUAAUUACUGACAGAAGAUUUAAGAAACCGGCGGAGUAACCAACCGUUAAAAUCUAGCUCAAGUGGGCGUGUCAUUCUCGUGUGACGACAGGAUCUAUAUGUGAAAGGGGAGAUAACCACGUAAUAAGGACUGUAUACCCUUUCGACAGAAGAUUUAAGGGAUGGAGGAGAAAGACAGAGGAAGAAUGCGACAAGAAGAUUAUUUUAUUGUCCGGAAAUUCCAUGUAGAAAUAAUAAAUGAAAUAGACCCUAGAUUCCUCAUACACCAGCUUUUUGCUUGUUUUCUCUUCGAUGAAGAGGACAUGGAACGAGUUCGAGCCGAACAAGAAAGACAUGGACGUACAGCGGGUGCAGUAAAGAUUAUGGAGAUUUUAUACCAUUCAGGUGCCACCGCUUUUCCUAAGUUCUUGGAAACUUUGCAUAAAGCGGGGUAUGGCCGAUUAGCUACACGCCUUGAGGAGGGACAGCAAAUUCAACAAGGACAAGCAGUUCAAGAAGAACAUACAAUUACUGAAUAAUAGAUAUAACAUGAAAACUAUAAACUCUAGGCCUUAAAACUAUCUGGUUAUCAGAAGGUAGAUGUAAUACCCGGUGUACACUGUGUAAUACCCAGUUGACCAGGUGUAAUAUCCAGUAGACCAGGGGUAAUACCCAGUAGACCACCGAGUAUACCCGAUAUAAUACCCAGUAUUCAAGGUGUAAUGUCCAGUAGACCAGGUGUAAUACCCAGUAUUCAAGGUGUAAUACCCAAUAGACCAGCCAAUAUACCCGGUGCAAAGCCCAGUAUACCCGAUAUUACACCUGGACGGACCCGAUGUAUUACCCGGUAUCUGUUAUCGCUCUCUACGGUUUUCCUUUUGUUUGCGUCACUUCCCGUUUCUUCAAAUCAUCGUUACGCAUCUACCAUAGCAAUGAUCUCUGUGUUAGAAUAAUAUUUGGAAUGUGUUUAACCAGUUCUAUCACUUAAGUAAUAUUGGUUGACACCAAAAUUUUCUUUAAGCCUGAAAGGAUUACACAAGAGACUAGUUAUUGAUCGAAGCUUUCUCCGUCGUCUUAACAAACACAAAACCACAAUGUUUGCAUUGAAUCUUUCAAGAAUUAUAGUUUAUAGAAAUGAUAUACAUCCUUGAAGAACAUUCAUAAUAAUACAAAUUUAUAGAUUUACACAGGUGACAAGUCUAUGGAAUACAAUUACUGCUUAUUACUGAGCGACGUUUCGACUGGGCUUCUCUAGUCAUUAUCAAGCAAUGAUAAAAUAUGAAAAUAUAAUAAAUGAAAUGAAAUGAAAUGAAAUGAGGUUUAACGUCCUACUGUUUUGCUCCGAACUGGGCUAACGAAGACGGGCAUACGCCAUACAGUGUGCUAUGACGGAAAUUUUGCCCGGACAGCGGCAUUACGGCCUACUCUUAUAUAAAUAUCGAAUUCAUACUGUCAAGGGAUCUUUUACGUGCACGCCAAUGUGUACACGGUACCUCGGUUUUUCUUCCCAUCUGAACGACUAGACAGACAGCUGUCCUUGUCCUGCAUGAAACAUCGGUCAGUAUUAAGCAGUAAUUGUAUAUGUUCAGUUCAAUUACUAAGUGCCAUUGAAACGAUUUAUAGACUUACUUUGAAAUAAGAUGGGGGCUGUAACGUCCUACUUUUUCGUACCGACUGGGCUAAUAAUGAAAGACAUAAGUCAAACAGUAUUCUCAGACAGAAAGUAUACCCGACUAAGAUUAGGAAAUCAUGUUUAAAGGAUUUGAUUGUUGUUAUGUCUUAAAUAAUUUUGUUUGUUUUGUAUGAUUUGUUUACUCUUUCAUGAAUGUACGAGAGAGAGAGAGAGAGAGAGAGAGAGAGAGAGAUUAUGAGUGUUUGAUUGAAUCGCAAAUUGUUUUUUAUUACUGAGCUACAUCGCGGGUGUUAAAAUCCAUUUAAAUCUCGGCCAUCCGGUGGUCUAGAGAAUUGAUUAUAGACAUGUCUUGUGAAUAAAUGUCUGAAUAAUAAUUGAUAUAAUAUUUGAAGCCGAAAUAAAAACCUCUAACAGGUAUGGUUUAAUGCUCGAGAGCGAGAAAUUAAGUAAUAUAUUGAUACUGCACGAGGCGUUAGCCGAGUGUUGUUUCAAUAUAUUACGCAAUGUCUUUAGAUCGAGACCAUUAAACAACUUAAAAUACA